Molecule: ribosomal RNA, 557 nt
Filed under: uncultured Ascomycota
Lineage: Eukaryota; Fungi; Ascomycota
Description: SSU rRNA
Rfam family: Eukaryotic small subunit ribosomal RNA
Source: RNAcentral
GGAAGGGGUGUAUUUAUUAGAUAAAAAACCAAUGCCCUUCGGGGCUUCUUGGUGAUUCAUGAUAACUAAACGGAUCGCAUGGCCUUGCGCCGGCGACGGUUCAUUCAAAUUUCUGCCCUAUCAACUUUCGAUGGUAAGGUAUUGGCUUACCAUGGUUUCAACGGGUAACGGGGAAUUAGGGUUCGAUUCCGGAGAGGGAGCCUGAGAAACGGCUACCACAUCCAAGGAAGGCAGCAGGCGCGCAAAUUACCCAAUCCCGACACGGGGAGGUAGUGACAAUAAAUAACAAUAUAGGGCUCUUUUGGGUCUUAUAAUUGGAAUGAGUACAAUUUAAAUCCCUUAACGAGGAACAAUUGGAGGGCAAGUCUGGUGCCAGCAGCCGCGGUAAUUCCAGCUCCAAUAGCGUAUAUUAAAGUUGUUGCAGUUAAAAAGCUCGUAGUUGAACCUUGGGCCUGGCUGGCAGGUCCGCCUCACCGCGUGUACUUGUCCGGCCGGGCCUUUCCUUCUGGAGAACCUCAUGCCCUUUACUGGGUGUGCUGGGGAACCAGGACUUUUAC